Ruditapes philippinarum (Manila clam) is the source of this 670-nucleotide long non-coding RNA. RefSeq lists it as uncharacterized. The transcript has 4 exons. The record is from RefSeq and is a predicted model, not a curated record. Lineage: Eukaryota; Metazoa; Mollusca; Bivalvia; Venerida; Veneridae.
AAUAAACAGAUGUUUUUAACAUUAUAUGAACAUGUUUGGUAAUGAACAGAUGUUCAAGAUUUAAUAUGAACAUGUAUGGUAAUGUACAGCUGUUCAAAAUGCAAUAUGAAGCAAAAUGUUUAGUAAUUAACAGAUGUUCAGCAUGUUCUACAUGCAACAUGAACAUGUUUGGUAAAGUACAUGAUUCAACAUGAUCAUGAUGAUACAGAUGCUAAAUAUGUAUAUAUCUUUGUUACAGGAGUAUUGCGCAUAGAUGGAUACCAUUGGUGACUAGGUAUAAUUAAGGUAGACUCUCAACAUUAAUUAUGAUAUUUAUGAUGAUGACUAGGAUUAAGACAGUUGUGUGACAUAUGACAAUGUUGUGUGAUAUGCCCGUGAUUGGCAGUAGACAGGAAUCACACAGGAGGCCAUUUACAGCUCCUUCACUGUCACUCCAGAAACUGGAUAUCAAUCUAUAGGCCAUGGAUUAUCAUCAAUUCUCAACAAUCCAGGGAGAUAACUGUCAGUCUUGAUGGAGAAUGAUGAAAGCGUCGAAGGGUCAGUUUAGUGACAAGAUGACCCGAAAACAGCAGCACUCUCCCACGCAAGAAGAGAUUAACAACUCCCUGUUUGAAGUAUUUGAGAUUGACAUUGAUAAUUUUGCUGUCAAGGACAACAGGUUUGCUACUUA